AUUGAACGCUGGCGGCAUGCCUUACACAUGCAAGUCGAACGGCAGCACGGGGGCAACCCUGGUGGCGAGUGGCGAACGGGUGAGUAAUACAUCGGAACGUGCCCGGAAGUGGGGGAUAACGUAGCGAAAGUUACGCUAAUACCGCAUAUUCUGUGAGCAGGAAAGCAGGGGAUCGCAAGACCUUGCGCUUUCGGAGCGGCCGAUGUCGGAUUAGCUAGUUGGUGAGGUAAAAGCUCACCAAGGCGACGAUCCGUAGCUGGUCUUAGAGGAUGAUCAGCCACACUGGGACUGAGACACGGCCCAGACUCCUACGGGAGGCAGCAGUGGGGAAUUUUGGACAAUGGGGGAAACCCUGAUCCAGCCAUGCCGCGUGAGUGAAGAAGGCCUCGG
Molecule: ribosomal RNA, 390 nt
Filed under: uncultured bacterium
Lineage: Bacteria
Description: bacterial SSU rRNA
Rfam family: Bacterial small subunit ribosomal RNA
Source: RNAcentral